CGAACGGCAGCAUGAUCUAGCUUGCUAGAUUGAUGGCGAGUGGCGAACGGGUGAGUAAUACAUCGGAACGUGCCCUGUAGUGGGGGAUAACUAGUCGAAAGAUUAGCUAAUACCGCAUACGACCUGAGGGUGAAAGUGGGGGACCGCAAGGCCUCAUGCUAUAGGAGCGGCCGAUGUCUGAUUAGCUAGUUGGUGAGGUAAAGGCUCACCAAGGCGACGAUCAGUAGCUGGUCUGAGAGGACGAUCAGCCACACUGGGACUGAGACACGGCCCAGACUCCUACGGGAGGCAGCAGUGGGGAAUUUUGGACAAUGGGCGAAAGCCUGAUCCAGCAAUGCCGCGUGUGUGAAGAAGGCCUUCGGGUUGUAAAGCACUUUUGUCCGGAAAGAAAUGGCUCUGGUUAAUACCUGGGGUCGAUGACGGUACCGGAAGAAUAAGGACCGGCUAACUACGUGCCAGCAGCCGCGGUAAUACGUAGGGUCCAAGCGUUAAUCGGAAUUACUGGGCGUAAAGCGUGCGCAGGCGGUUGUGCAAGACCGAUGUGAAAUCCCCGAGCUUAACUUGGGAAUUGCAUUGGUGACUGCACGGCUAGAGUGUGUCAGAGGGGGGUAGAAUUCCACGUGUAGCAGUGAAAUGCGUAGAGAUGUGGAGGAAUACCGAUGGCGAAGGCAGCCCCCUGGGAUAACACUGACGCUCAUGCACGAAAGCGUGGGGAGCAAACAGGAUUAGAUACCCUGGUAGUCCACGCCCUAAACGAUGUCAACUAGUUGUUGGGGAUUCAUUUCCUUAGUAACGUAGCUAACGCGUGAAGUUGACCGCCUGGGGAGUACGGUCGCAAGAUUAAAACUCAAAGGAAUUGACGGGGACCCGCACAAGCGGGGGAUGAUGUGGAUUAAUUCGAUGCACCGCGAAAAACCUUACCUACCCUUGACAUGCCACUAACGAAGCACAGAUGCAUUAGGGGCUCGAAAG
RNAcentral lists this ribosomal RNA (972 nucleotides) under uncultured Burkholderiales bacterium. Its description in RNAcentral is "bacterial SSU rRNA". It matches the Rfam family "Bacterial small subunit ribosomal RNA", at positions 63 to 1024 of the family's 1533-position model. The record is from RNAcentral. Lineage: Bacteria; Pseudomonadati; Pseudomonadota; Betaproteobacteria; Burkholderiales.